This is a non-coding RNA of Tinamus guttatus (white-throated tinamou), 135 nucleotides long. The record is from RefSeq and is a predicted model, not a curated record. NCBI's taxonomy places the organism in Eukaryota, Metazoa, Chordata, Aves, Tinamiformes, Tinamidae.
UCUCUUGCUUGAGAAAGAAAACUCUCCAACCAUGGCAAACCAGGCAUUUUCCCCAGAGGCUGCUUUCCCUCAUGGGAGGCGGAGGGAGAAAUGGGACCCCAGGCUUCUUUCAAGGGCAAGGUGAAUAUGGGGAAA